AAGUCGUAACAAGGUCUCCGUCGGUGAACCAGCGGAGGGAUCAUUACCGAGUUCUUACAGAACCCAACCCUUGUGUGAUAAGCUCUCACCCAGCUUUUACACGAGAGUCUCGGCCUAAUCGCCGAGGCAGUGUAAAAAACAAAACCUCUGUAUCAUUAUCACAAAUUUCUGAAGACUUUUUAAAAGAGUCAAAACUUUCAACAACGGAUCUCUUGGUUCUGGCAUCGAUGAAGAACGCAGCGAAAUGCGAUACGUAAUGUGAAUUGCAGAAUUCAGUGAAUCAUCGAAUCUUUGAACGCACAUUGCGCCCGCCAGUAUUCUGGCGGGCAUGCCUGUCCGAGCGUCAUUUCAACCCAUCAAGCCUAGCGCUUGUGUUGGAGCCCUGCGGCCGCCGCAGCCUCCUAAAAUCAGUGGCGGGCUCGCUAUCACGCUGAGUGCAGUAGUAUUCUUCUCACUCCUGUUGUGUAGCGGGUAACCAGCCGUAAAAACCCCCAUAUUCAAAGGUUGACCUCGGAUCAGGUAGGAAUACCCGCUGAACUUA
Molecule: ribosomal RNA, 541 nt
Filed under: uncultured fungus
Lineage: Eukaryota; Fungi
Description: eukaryotic LSU rRNA
Rfam family: 5.8S ribosomal RNA (bases 193-346)
Source: RNAcentral